This 1084-nucleotide long non-coding RNA is filed under the name Homo sapiens (human). RNAcentral describes it as "non-protein coding LINC00313:35". Lineage: Eukaryota; Metazoa; Chordata; Mammalia; Primates; Hominidae. The record is from RNAcentral.
UCUGCCUCCAUUGAAACGUGGCUGUCCUCCCUGCAUCUGUGGGGCUGACUUCCCUCUUCUUACAAGGAUGCCGUCAUUGGAUGAGGGCCCACCAUACUCCAGUAUGCAGCCAGGCAGUGAGCAGCCGACGGGUGCCUCAGUGUCCCAUGCAGCACAGCCACGCAGAGCAGGCGAGGGCCAGCCCCCAGGAAGCCGCUUGUGCCUGCCCGCAGUGGGACAAACCUCGGCACUGAGUGUGUCCACAGAUGCCAACGCCCCUCAGACGGAGUGAGUUGAUGACUGUUAAAUGCAACAAUAUAAAUGGCCUUGUAUUUUGUAUAUCUUUCCUUUUUUGUUUUAUUUUUCUAGCUGAUCUUUUUUACUCUAUUUUGCAAAAGUUAGCAGUCUGCAGGGUGCUUCCCCCUGGCUGGCUGGAGAAGCCCCAUGUGCCGAGCCUGGUCCGAGGUCCUCUGAGCCCCCACGUCGCCUCGCUAAGUUGCUGUGCCCUGACCCCAGUGUGGGAGGGGCCAUCAGAGCACAUGUGCCUUCUACUUGGUGAGGGCGGCAUUAUCUUGGGGAUGCAACUGCAAUAAUCAAGAAACUUAGAAAUAUUUCGGAUGAAUUAACUGAGAACGCAGUGCACUCACUGGCAUGGCCACCUGCCCUCACCUGGGGCGUGCCUCCGGCCCUGGCACUGCUCUGCCCCACCCAGUUGGUGGAAUCAUGGAAGCAGAAGAGGGGUGGUCCCUGACUCGUGUUUGUGCUGUGGAGACGCCCGCAAAGGCCAGGACACUUGCAUAGAAUGCUCCCGGCACUCUCCCGUCUCCAGGGCUGUGUGUAAGAGUCAGUGACAGAACUGUACGCAGCGUGCAAGAGACAACUGCCAUCACUGCCACCUUGAAGGGCAGCCUGGGCACAUACUGUCGAGGGACAAGGAACUUGCUGACAGCAGAAGGCUUCAUGCCACAUGCUUCGGUCUGUAUACAGUCCAAAUCCGGCAAAGUGGCACGCAACACUGUCCAGGGGUUCACUGCACAUGGCAAAGCUGUCCUAGAGGGUAAGGAUGACAAAUGCCUGUGCAGGAGGGAGGUCGCCUCUGGGAACC